UUAGAGUUUGAUCCUGGCUCACGACGAACGCUAGCGGCGUGCCUAACACAUGCAAGUCGUACGAGCAUUAGCAAUAAUGUUAGUGGCGAACGGGUGCGUAACACGUGGGAAAUCUGCCUGGGAGUGGGGAAUAAACGCUCGAAAGGGCGUCUAAUACCGCAUAAUGCAGCGGCCUCGCAUGAGGAUGUUGUUAAAAGUAGCGAUACGCUUCCAGAUGAUCCCGCGCGUGAUUAGCUUGUUGGCGGGGUAACGGCCCCACCAAGGCGACGAUCAGUAGCCGAUCUGAGAGGAUGACCGGCCACACCGGGUGUGAGAUACGGCCCAGACUCCUACGGGAGGCAGCAGUGAGGAGUAUUGCGCAAUGGACGAAAGUCUGACGCAGCAACGCCGCGUGAGUGAUGAAGGUCUUCGGGUUGGUAAAGCUCUGUGGCAGGGGAAGAAUUGCCCGUUGAGGGCGUUGACGGUACCCUGAAAGUAAGCACCGGCUAACUCCGUGCCAGCAGCCGCGGUAAUACGGAGGGUGCAAGCGUUGUCCGGAUUUACUGGGUGUAAAGGGCGUGUAGGCGGAUGUGCAAGUCAUAGGUGAAAGUGGGCGGCUUAACCGUCUCAAGGGCCUAUGAAACUGCAUAUCUUGAGAGUGUCAGGGGGUAUUGGAAUUCCCGGUGUAGCGGUGGAAUGCGUAGAUAUCGGGAGGAACACCAGUGGCGAAGGCGGAUACCUGGGGCACAUCUGACGCUGAGACGCGAAAGUGCGGGGAGCAAACAGGCUUAGAUACCCUGGUAGUCCGCACCGUAAACGAUGGGCACUAGUCGUCGGGAGAGGUCCUCUCGGUGACGCAGUUAACACAGUAAGUGCCCCACCUGGGGAGUACGCUCGCAAGGGUGAAACUCAAAGGAAUUGACGGGGGCCCGCACAAGCGGUGGAGCAUGUGGUUUAAUUCGAUGCAACGCGAAGAACCUUACCUGGGCUCGAAGUGCGCUUUGUCUGCGGUGAAAGCCGCAUAGGUAGCAAUACCGGGGCGCAUAGGUGCUGCAUGGCUGUCGUCAGCUCGUGUCGUGAGAUGUUAGGUUAAGUCCUGCAACGAGCGCAACCCUCGCCCAUAGUUACCAGCGGUUAAAGCCGGGCACUCUAUGGGGACUGCCUCCGUAAAGGAGGAGGAAGGUGGGGAUGACGUCAAGUCCUCAUGGCCCUUAUGUCCAGGGCUACACACGUGCUACAAUGGAUCGCACAGAGGGUAGCAAGACCGCGAGGUGGAGCCAAUCCUUAAAACGGUCCUCAGUUCAGAUUGCACUCUGCAACUCGAGUGCAUGAAGUCGGAAUCGCUAGUAAUCGCUAAUCAGCAGGUAGCGGUGAAUACGUUCCCGGGCCUUGUACACACCGCCCGUCAAACCAUGGGAGUUGGUAGUACCCGAAGCCGCCGAGCUAACCGAAAGGAGGCAGGCGUCUAAGGUAAGACUGAUGACUGGGGUUAAGUCGUAACAAGGUAACC
RNAcentral lists this ribosomal RNA (1489 nucleotides) under uncultured bacterium. RNAcentral describes it as "16S ribosomal RNA". It matches the Rfam family "Bacterial small subunit ribosomal RNA". The record is from RNAcentral.